This is a non-coding RNA of Ceratotherium simum simum (southern white rhinoceros), 792 nucleotides long. NCBI's taxonomy places the organism in Eukaryota, Metazoa, Chordata, Mammalia, Perissodactyla, Rhinocerotidae. The record is from RefSeq and is a predicted model, not a curated record.
AUCCCUCUAGGAACAUCCUUAUGAUAGCAGGGCAUGAACCUGUGUGGGCACAAAAGGCAGCAGGGGAUGGAGCUGCAGCUCAAUGAGCAGAGUUCCUGGAUCUCAGCCCCACUCACCUCUUCAGCUUGGUGUCCUUUAUGCAGUGUGCAAACUGCACAACCUUCCACAGAGACUGCUCAUCAUGCUGCCUGCCUGUCUGCAGAUCCCAUUCACUCUUGAAAGAAAACAAGACUUGAUUUCAUGGAAUCAUCUCAUUGAGAAAGACCAUAAAUAAAACUAGGGGAAGGGAGAAUAUUUUGCUUCCUUUCUGACUACAAAACUCCCGUCUUUCUAGCUCAUUGUUCUAGUACUGCAACUUCAACCAUCUUUCCACCCUAUUGGGACCCCCAAUCUAUUGAUCUCAUGGCAUUUUUAUUGUCCUUCACCUCUCAUAAGUCUUAUCUCCUUACCCUGCUUAAAUUCCAAGUAACUCACUAUAAUCAUUCCUCCGUAUAUAUCCUCAAUACUCUUGCCUCCCUACAUUGCUUUUUCCUACUGAUUUAGCAGAGCCACAACCCUGUUUAAAUUCAACAUUCCCUCCUUUGUGUGUGUACCUAUGUGACCAAACUGUGGCUGGAGAAAUACCAUCCACUGACAGCCCACUUCAGAUUCAUGACCACCAACCUCAAGUGGUCUUUAAUGCUACAGUCAUACUAACAUUCUCCAGCCAUUCACUCCCCCUCUCUGCUGACUGUUACACCUUCUCUGUCCUCAGGAAAAUGAAGCUAUUGGAAAAGAACUUCCACCAGGUGA